UUUCACAGCUGCCAGGCGGAUUGUGUGCAUCUGGGGGUGGGACUGACAAUGAGCAACAAAUGUCUUCCUGUUUAAAACACGGUCUUCCGGCGUCAUUUGUUUGUAACGUGUUGCCGGCGUCGGAAGGCUGGAAUUGCUAGCGGUACAUCGGUCUUUGAGCGUGAAUCGCUUCAGACAAACUCUGGGUGGCAGCCAGUAGCGUUAGCAUUCAUCGCCAGCUGUGCAAGUUUGUUUCACUAGAGUAUGCCGAAAGCCUGUCCCCCUCCUACCUCGGCUCACCUCUUGUGAUGACAGGUCAUU
Long non-coding RNA from Alosa sapidissima (American shad), 300 nucleotides. RefSeq lists it as uncharacterized. The record is from RefSeq and is a predicted model, not a curated record. The transcript has 3 exons. NCBI's taxonomy places the organism in Eukaryota, Metazoa, Chordata, Actinopteri, Clupeiformes, Clupeidae.